RNAcentral lists this small nuclear RNA (336 nucleotides) under Tupaia belangeri (northern tree shrew). RNAcentral's name for it is "7SK RNA (ENSTBEG00000018514.1)". It matches the Rfam family "7SK RNA". Rfam says of the family: 7SK was discovered as an abundant small nuclear RNA in the mid-70s but a possible function has only recently been suggested. Two independent studies have found that 7SK RNA binds the CDK9/cyclin T complex (known as elongation factor P-TEFb). P-TEFb activates transcription by phosphorylating the C-terminal domain of RNA polymerase II. Lineage: Eukaryota; Metazoa; Chordata; Mammalia; Scandentia; Tupaiidae. The record is from RNAcentral.
GGAUGUGAGGGCGAUCUGGCUGCGACAUCUGUCACCCCAUUGAUCGCCAGGGUUGAUUCGGCUGAUCUGGCUGGCUAGGCGGGUGUCCCCUUCCUCCCUCACCGCUCCAUGUGCGUCCCUCCCGAAGCUGCGCACUCGGUCGAAGAGGACGACCAUCCCCGAUAGAGGAGGACCGUUCUUCGGUCAAGGGUAUACGAGUAGCUGCGCUCCCCUGCUAGAACCUCCAAACAAGCUCUCAAGAAGGCCUGUUACUUUGUGUCUCCUGGGUUGGGAGGAGAAGAGGGGAUUAUUAAUAAGAUAAAGGGAAAGGAGUGGCUCCUGAGAACUUGCCAUUUC